GAUGAACGCUGGCGGCGUGCCUAAUACAUGCAAGUCGAGCGAAAAGACGCGGAGCUUGCUCGUCUGACGUUAGAGGCGGACGGGAGAGUAACACGUGGAUAACCUACCUAUAAGACAGGGAUAGCUUCGGGAAACAGUAGCUAAUACCGGAUAAGAUAUUGAACCGCAUGGUUCAAUAGUGAAAGACGGUUUUGCUGUCACUUGUAGAUGGAUCCGCGCCGCAUUAGCUAGUUGGUAAGGUAACGGCUUACCAAGGCAACGAUGCGUAGCCGACCUGAGAGGGUGAUCGGCCACACUGGAACUGAGACACGGUCCAGACUCCUACGGGAGGCAGCAGUAGGGAAUCUUCCGCAAUGGGCGAAAGCCUGACGGAGCAAUGCCGCGUGAGGGAUGAAGGUCUUCGGAUCGUAAACCGCUGUUAUUAGGGAAGAACAAAUGUGUAAUUAACUAGGCACGUCUUGACGGUACCUUAUCAGAAAGCCCCGGCUAACUACGUG
Molecule: ribosomal RNA, 497 nt
Filed under: uncultured bacterium
Lineage: Bacteria
Description: partial 16S ribosomal RNA
Rfam family: Bacterial small subunit ribosomal RNA
Source: RNAcentral